UGGAUUACCCGUUGAACACUUGGAAUACUAAUUGGAUACUCGGAAAAGCCUUUGCACAUAAGUGCCUCAAUUGUAGCUAAAGCUACCUCAUAUCUCAUGACAUUUCAAUGCUCACUCUCGAGCUAGUCAUCUAGACUCAUAAUUCCUAGUGACAUGUCACUCGUAUCCUAUUCUAUUCCUAAGGUUCAAACGGGAUUUUUCCUCGUCUAUUAAGGCUUUGUCUUAUCAUAUUUCUAUUAAUCACAUACACUUAAUAUCUGUACAAUUCAUGUAAUGAUAACAUUUAAAUACAUGUAUAGCAUGGUAUUGUUUACAUACAAACUUACCUCGAUACCACAAAGGUGAAAAGGACAUAAUCAUCCCUUAAUCGAUUUCUUUCCGUUCUAGGUCCAAAUCUCGAUUUCCUUGAU
RNAcentral lists this long non-coding RNA (410 nucleotides) under Gossypium barbadense (sea-island cotton). Its description in RNAcentral is "long non-coding RNA (GBAR_LNC011358)". The record is from RNAcentral. Lineage: Eukaryota; Viridiplantae; Streptophyta; Magnoliopsida; Malvales; Malvaceae.